Molecule: ribosomal RNA, 440 nt
Filed under: uncultured bacterium
Lineage: Bacteria
Description: partial 16S ribosomal RNA
Rfam family: Bacterial small subunit ribosomal RNA
Source: RNAcentral
CCUACGGGAGGCAGCAGUAGGGAAUAUUGCUCAAUGGGGGAAACCCUGAAGCAGCAACGCCGCGUGGAGGAUGAAGGUUUUCGGAUUGUAAACUCCUUUUGUUAGAGAAGAUAAUGACGGUAUCUAACGAAUAAGCACCGGCUAACUCCGUGCCAGCAGCCGCGGUAAUACGGAGCGUGCAAGCGUUACUCGGAAUCACUGGGCGUAAAGGGCGCGUAGGCGGGAUAGCAGGUCAGAUGUGAAAUCCUAUGGCUUAACCAUAGAACUGCAUUUGAAACUGUUAUUCUAGAGUAUGGGAGAGGUAGGUGGAAUUCUUGGUGUAGGGGUAAAAUCCGUAGAGAUCAAGAGGAAUACUCAUUGCGAAGGCGACCUGCUAGAACAUAACUGACGCUGAUGCGCGAAAGCGUGGGGAGCAAACAGGAUUAGAUACCCGGGUAGUC